AUUGAACGCUGGCGGCAGGCCUAACACAUGCAAGUCGAGCGGAUGAAGGGAGCUUGCUCCUUGAUUCAGCGGCGGACGGGUGAGUAAUUCCUAGGAAUCUGCCUGGUAGUUGGUUAUAACGUCCUGAAACGGGCGCUAAUACCGCAUACGUCCUGAGGGAGAAAGUGUGGGAUCUUCGGACCUUACGCUAUCAGAUGAUCCUAGGUCGGAUUAGCUAGUUGGUGGGGUAAAGGCCUACCAAGGCGACGAUCCGUAACUGGUCUGAGAGGAUGAUCAGUCACACUGGAACUGAGACACGGUCCAGACUCCUACGGGAGGCAGCAGUGGGGAAUAUUGGACAAUGGGCGAAAGCCUGAUCCAGCCAUGCCGCGUGUGUGAAGAAGGUCUUCGGAUUGUAAAGCACUUUAAGUUGGGAGGAAGGGCAGUAAGUUAAUACCUUGCUGUUUUGACGUUACCAACAGAAUAAGCACCGGCUAACUUCGUG
RNAcentral lists this ribosomal RNA (484 nucleotides) under uncultured bacterium. RNAcentral describes it as "partial 16S ribosomal RNA". It matches the Rfam family "Bacterial small subunit ribosomal RNA", at positions 30 to 507 of the family's 1533-position model. The record is from RNAcentral.